This is a long non-coding RNA of Gasterosteus aculeatus aculeatus (three-spined stickleback), 1174 nucleotides long. Lineage: Eukaryota; Metazoa; Chordata; Actinopteri; Perciformes; Gasterosteidae. The record is from Ensembl.
GUUUGGUCAUAAAUGAACCGUCACUAGCGCCGCUGGAAACAUUACGUCGCAAAUCCGGGAUUUCAAAGGCUUGUCCAGCUGUUUACUGAGAGGAAGAGAGUUACAGACGAAGAAUAUAAAACAUUUUUGUUAAAGAUCAUGCUUACCAGCACCAACGUGUCCUUCAUGGAAAGGGUGGAAUAGGGGCUUGAAAUCCUAAUGGUCGCAUGGGUCUCACAUUACACCGCCCAUUACACCGCCCUAACUACACAAUGAACCAUUAGACACGUGGAAGACUGAGAAGGAUCCUCGUCCGGGAGUGUUAUUUUAUUCUUAACUCUGUAAAUGGAUUAAAAUGAAACUCUGACUGAGGAGUUUACUUGUUGAAGAGCUUCAGUUCUCAUCACUCAAGACGUCCAUGGGAGGAGAUGAUCUGCAGGAUCCUGGUGAUCUUCAUCCUGACCUCCUGUUUCUGUGCAGGGUCAUUUGUAGUGAAUGUGACACAGAGCUGGUAUCAUGCAGAGGAGAACCACAACAUCUCACUGGAAUGGAUGUUCCCCACCAGCACGGACCACUCCUCCAACUCCCUUUAUAUCUCCUGUGAGAUGAUAAAUCCUGAUGGACCCGCAGUCCUGUUUCAUCUAUAUGAAGGUGUCGAGGUCCCAGAGUUUCAGGAUAAACGCUUUGCAGGACGAGUCCAGUGGGACAAAGACGUCCUCAGAGAAGGACGACUCAGAAUUCACAUCUCCAGACUCCAGACUAAUGACUCGGGGCUGUACUGGUGUGAAGUGGACACAAGUUAUGGGAGGAACUAUAAGGAAUGUCACCUCAAUGUCACUGUUCUCAUCACUCAAGACGUCCAACUUAAGGUCAAGGUCGAGGUCCCAGAGUUUCAGGAUAAACGCUUUGCAGGACGAGUCCAGUGGGACAAAGACGUCCUCAGAGAAGGACGACUCAGACUUCACAUCUCCAGACUCCAGACUAAUGACUCGGGGCUGUACUGGUGUGAAGUGGACACAAGUUAUGGGAGGAACUAUAAGGAAUGUCACCUCAAUGUCACUGCAGUGAAGGAUCGGCCCGAACAUGAGACAACGAGUGAUACGAGUCUGAGAGGAGAUCCUCGAGGAAGGAUCGGUCUCUGUGCACUGGGACCAGCAGCAGCUCUACUUGCUUCCUUUUUUUGCCUGUGCAUUGC